AGCUCCAAUAGCGUAUAUUAAAGUUGUUGUGGUUAAAAAGCUCGUAGUUGGAUUUCGGCGGGUAGUGGUUGGUUUGAAUUGAUUCAACACUGACUUUUUUACCCGUGGGUUUUGCCAGAAUCUUACGGGUGAUCUUUACCGAUUGUCCGUUUGAACUGGCAGGUUUACUUUGAAAAAAUUAGAGUGCUCAAAGCAGGCUAAAAUGCCUGAAUAUUCGUGCAUGGAAUAAUAGAAUAGGAUGUCGAUCCUAUUUUGUUGGUUUUUGGGACUCGACAUAAUGAGAAAUAGGGACAGUCGGGGGCAUUUGUAUUCAAACGACAGAGGUGAAAUUCUUGGACCGUUUGAAGACAAACUACUGCGAAAGCAUUUGCCAAGAAUGUUUUCA
RNAcentral lists this ribosomal RNA (385 nucleotides) under marine copepod environmental sample. RNAcentral describes it as "SSU rRNA". It matches the Rfam family "Eukaryotic small subunit ribosomal RNA", at positions 587 to 972 of the family's 1831-position model. Lineage: Eukaryota; Metazoa; Arthropoda; Copepoda. The record is from RNAcentral.